AGUGGGGGAUAACACAUCGAAAGAUGUGCUAAUACCGCAUAUGCCCUGAGGGGGAAAGGGGGGGAUCCGCAAGGACCUCUUGCUUUCGGAGUGGCCGAUAUCGGAUUAGCUAGUUGGUGAGGUAAAGGCUCACCAAGGCGACGAUCCGUAGCUGGUCUGAGAGGACGACCAGCCACACUGGAACUGAGACACGGUCCAGACUCCUACGGGAGGCAGCAGUGGGGAAUUUUGGACAAUGGGCGCAAGCCUGAUCCAGCCAUACCGCGUGAGUGAAGAAGGCCUUCGGGUUGUAAAGCUCUUUCAGCCGGAAAGAAAUCACACUUAUUAACACUGAGUGUGGAUGACGGUACCGGAAGAAGAAGCACCGGCUAACUACGUGCCAGCAGCCGCGGUAAUACGUAGGGUGCGAGCGUUAAUCGGAAUUACUGGGCGUAAAGCGUGCGCAGGCGGCUUUUUAAGCCAGAUGUGAAAUCCCCGGGCUUAACCUGGGAACUGCAUUUGGAACUGGAAGGCUAGAGUGUAGAAGAGGGGGGUAGAAUUCCA
This 543-nucleotide ribosomal RNA is filed under the name uncultured Gallionellaceae bacterium. RNAcentral's name for it is "bacterial SSU rRNA". It matches the Rfam family "Bacterial small subunit ribosomal RNA", at positions 135 to 671 of the family's 1533-position model. Lineage: Bacteria; Pseudomonadati; Pseudomonadota; Betaproteobacteria; Nitrosomonadales; Gallionellaceae. The record is from RNAcentral.